RNAcentral lists this ribosomal RNA (774 nucleotides) under uncultured Neocallimastigales. Its description in RNAcentral is "partial large subunit ribosomal RNA". It matches the Rfam family "Eukaryotic large subunit ribosomal RNA", at positions 22 to 635 of the family's 3401-position model. The record is from RNAcentral. Lineage: Eukaryota; Fungi; Neocallimastigomycota; Neocallimastigomycetes; Neocallimastigales.
GUACACGCUGUGACUAGCAUAUCAAUAAGCGGAGGAAAAGAAACUAACAAGGAUUCCCCUAGUAACGGCGAGUGAAGCGGGAAGAGCUCAAAUUUGAAAUCUUAAAGGGUUUCCCUUUACGAAUUGUAGUUUAAAGAAGUGUUUUCUGUUGAGGUUUUGGUAAAAGUUCUUUGGAAUAGGACAUCAUAGAGGGUGAGAAUCCCGUAUUUGACCUUUACUUUCAACUUUGUGAUACACUUUCAAAGAGUCGGAUUGUUUGGGAAUGCAGUCCAAAAUGGGUGGUAAAUUUCAUCUAAAGCUAAAUAUUGGCGAGAGACCGAUAGCGAACAAGUACCGUGAGGGAAAGAUGAAAAGAACUUUGAAAAGAGAGUUAAACAGUACGUGAAAUUGUCAAAAGGGGAGCGUUUGACACCAGUGUUGUUUUUCUGAAAAUCAAUUAAAGAACUGUUUAUGCUAAGUUGUUUAGACUUUAUCAGCUAACUGUUUAGUUUUGAGCUUUUCUUUAAUGCACUUUUCAGUUAACAAGUCAACAUCAAUUUCUUUUGCUGUAAAAAAGCUUGAGGAAGGUGGCUUGAGAUUCGUCUUAAGUGUUUAUAGCCUCUUGCCUAUGCAGUCGGAGAGAUUGAGGUCUGCAGCGUAGAUCCUUCGGGGCUAAAUGCAUUUGUGCUAAGUUAUAGCAUUUUAUAGACAACUUGUUGACUAUGAUUUGUCUUGUAGCUUACUCGCUUGUGUUAUUUUACCUACGCUUAGGAUGUUGAGGAUGUAGCACAUCAU